Long non-coding RNA from Boleophthalmus pectinirostris (great blue-spotted mudskipper), 673 nucleotides. RefSeq lists it as uncharacterized. NCBI's taxonomy places the organism in Eukaryota, Metazoa, Chordata, Actinopteri, Gobiiformes, Gobiidae. The transcript is spliced from 2 exons. The record is from RefSeq and is a predicted model, not a curated record.
GACAAGUGAAUGAAAACGGAAGGAAACUUACCAGGCUGCUCCGAACAGGAUACUACACUCCAAUGUACCAAAAAGUCCGACUUUACUCACGGCUCUGGACACUCUGUCAGCACCGUAGGAAAUGACCGCUUUGUCCGCUGAAGUAGAGUAAGAGUGUUGGUUUGCCGCAGGACAUAACUGGACAAAAGCCCUUGACUCAGAUCUGUAGCUGGUGGUGCGUUUCAUGACCUUCUCCACAUGCUGACAUCACCUGGGUAAACUUGAGCAAGUGUACUUGAACAGCGGGCAGUUUGGACGCUGUAAACAUCCCCGACUGGAAGCUGUCCGUCAACCGAGCUUUCAGUCUGAUGUUUGCUGCUGCCGGUGUCCAUAGACACGGGAAAUAAAACAAAGAGCAAGAUAUGAUUUAGGCUGACUUUUUGCAUCGUUUAGAGUGUAUGUAUGCCAUUGCCAUUUUAUUCAAGCUCAGACCAUGUAAACAUCCUACACUCAGCUGUGAGCAGAUGCAGCAGAGGCUGAGAGAAGGUUGUUUACUUGUACUGGCUGGAAAAAGCAGUCAUGCGUAUCAAAGUUAAUCCAAGACUCAAUGACAAAGAUAAAGAGCAAUAAACAAUAGAUUUGUCAUAUGUGCAGCUGUUUCAAUAAAUCAAUAAACAAAUGUGCCUUUUUUACG